Molecule: ribosomal RNA, 1025 nt
Filed under: Actinomycetes bacterium
Lineage: Bacteria; Bacillati; Actinomycetota; Actinomycetes
Description: bacterial LSU rRNA
Rfam family: Bacterial large subunit ribosomal RNA
Source: RNAcentral
AACUUAAGCGCCGGUAAACGGCGGUGGUAACUAUAACCAUCCUAAGGUAGCGAAAUUCCUUGUCGGGUAAGUUCCGACCUGCACGAAUGGCGUAACGACUUCCCCGCUGUCUCAACCACAGGCCCGGCGAAAUUGCACUACGAGUGAAGAUGCUCGUUUCGCGCAGCAGGACGGAAAGACCCCGGGACCUUCACUACAGCUUGACAUUGGCGUCUGGAAUGGCUUGUGUAGGAUAGGUGGGAGACUGUGAAGCCUCGACGCUAGUUGGGGUGGAGUCGCCGGUGAAAUACCACUCUGGCUGUUUCGGGCGUCUAACCCACGCCCCUGAAUCGGGGUGGGGGACAGUGUCUGGCGGGUAGUUUAACUGGGGCGGUUGCCUCCUAAAAGGUAACGGAGGCGCCCAAAGGUCCCCUCAGCCUGGUUGGCAAUCAGGUGGUGAGUGUAAGUGCACAAGGGGGCUUGACUGCGAGACCGACGGGUCGAGCAGGAGCGAAAGCUGGGACUAGUGAUCCGGCACUUCCGUGUGGUUGGGGUGUCGCUCAACGGCUAAAAGGUACCCCGGGGAUAACAGGCUGAUCUUCCCCAAGAGUCCAUAUCGACGGGAUGGUUUGGCACCUCGAUGUCGGCUCGUCGCAUCCUGGGGCUGGAGUCGGUCCCAAGGGUUGGGCUGUUCGCCCAUUAAAGCGGUACGCGAGCUGGGUUUAGAACGUCGCGAGACAGUUCGGUCCCUAUCCGCUGCGCGCGUAGGAGACUUGAGGGGGGCUGUCCCUAGUACGAGAGGACCGGGACGGACGAACCUCUGGUGUGCCAGUUGUGCCGCCAGGUGCAUGGCUGGUUGGCCACGUUCGGUGUGGAUAACCGCUGAAGGCAUCUAAGCGGGAAGCCAACCCCAAGACAAGGUCUCCCACCCCUGCGCAAGCAGGGGGUAAGGUCCCCGCGAGACUAGCGGGUUGAUAGGCCGGUGGUGGAAGCUCGGUAACGGGUGGAGCCGACCGGUACUAAUAGACCGAGGACUUGGCCGCACA